This 1498-nucleotide long non-coding RNA is filed under the name Homo sapiens (human). RNAcentral's name for it is "HSALNT0308835". The record is from RNAcentral. Lineage: Eukaryota; Metazoa; Chordata; Mammalia; Primates; Hominidae.
AUUAAAUUAGAAUCAAAUAUUAGAUUAAAUUCAAGCCAUUUCUACCAAAUCAAAUCAACUGCAUUUAUUCUGUUAAUACUGCAGCUCCCGUAACUUCAGACAACAGGAACAGUAUGUAAGAAGAGCUGCAUUAUCUAGAUUCUAGGUCUCAAAAUAUAAGGAAUGACCUCACGAGUCACAGCCCAGUUGUUCCUAUAUGUAGUUAGAAGGAGAUAUCUGAAGGAGCUCCUUGGAUCUGGCAUCCUCUCUACCGUCAACCUCACACCCCAGGCAAGAAGGGGAAAUCCCAGAGGCCAUAAUCCUCCAGCCAUCUGGGAGGCACCCAGAAGACAACCAUUAGCAGACACUCUGGGACUUCAGGCAGUUCUGCUCCUUGAAACAACUGUCACUGGAGAGGCGAUUUUACAGCAGCCACUGUUGUCAAGUGGAAAUACAUUUUUAGUAAUAAGAAUAACAGCAAUGGACGGAUAAGCUGGCUCUUCUGGAACAACCAUCCAGGGAUAUUCCAGCCUUACAGUUCUAUCAGGUCAAGCAAAAGUUGAUGUUUCUACCUCACCAGGGAGCACUUUAGCCCUUAAUCUCUUUUACAAGCAGCAGAGGACUUGAAGACCAAAUGACAGCCAGGGACCUGGCCAUUGCCGGGUAGCCUAGGAAUGUGCGACCACUAAGGAAUUGAAGCCCUUCUCUGUGUCUCUGUUUUUCUCACUUGUCUUCUUUCCAGCUGUCCUAUAGGUGUGGUAAAUCUGAAUGCACAAUUCUCAAAAACCAUAACUCCCACUUUUUCUAGGUGCCAAAGAGAAUGUUAAAAUAUCUUCAAUUAUCCAUUCUCUCAUUUCAACUUCAGCUUCUAGUAUUGAUUAAGAAGUGGAGACCACCUCAUCUGUCCUCCUCAAUCUUAUUCAUGCACUACUGAGACGCACCUACAGGAGGAGAAACACUUCCAAGCACACGAUGUGAAUUUGUAUCUUUACACACCUAACAUACCGACUAUUCCUGAAUCCUUAUCCAGUUUGAAAGAGAAUACAAUGCAAGUAAAACCUGAAUUGAUUUUAGCCUGAUGUUUUCCCGUGGAACAGGGACUCAUAAAUCACUCCAUAUGUCAAACUCUGCCCUUCUUCCCCGAUUCAGUAAUCACUCUCUUAGUAACUUGGGAGAUAUAAACUAGACAUUUGUAUCUACCAGGGGUUCUAUCUGGCUUAUUUAUUUAAUUCAGCUGAGAAUUUGGGGUGUUAUGUUUCAUUAAUUCACCAAUGACCUAUUUUAAAUCAACGAUUCUGAGCCAACUUCUUUUUGAGAUAUUGGACUUGAUAUAAAUACAAUGCAGAAAGAAGUAAUUCUCCAUUCUGGGUUAACUUCAUUAUUGUGCUAAGUAUUCCCAUAAGAAAAAAAAAUUAUCAUAUGCUCUCAAGCUUCACAGACAUAUUUUUGUCUGUAUGUUUACUCAGAAAGGAGAUAAAGUCUACAGUUUCAUUUUCAUACUUUUACAGCAAGAUCCUAA